CACAAAAGAGCCUUAAAAGCCUUGCCACCUCACCCUAGACGCAAAGAAGUUCGGCCCCGCCCUUUUGACACCAUGUUUCGAUGUCUUAUACCAAAGUCCUCUGGUACUGGUCUUACUGAGGAUCAGAUCAAGGGAAUUUUCAAGCGAUAUGACGCCAAUCGUGAUGGUUUCCUUAACAGGGAAGAGAUAAGGAAUGCAUUUGCAGCCCUCGGCUCUAUAGGGCCAGGCUUUCGAGCUAAACGCGGGUUGCACCAUGCCGAUGCCAAUGGAGAUGGACUCAUUGACGAGGAGGAGCUGAAGACUCUGGUCGAAUAUGGAAAGAAAAUUGGAUACACCAUUAAGUAGAAAACCAAGUUCAUAAAGUACGAUGCUGAACCAAGAAGAAGCAAGCUGUCCGACGGCAAUAUUUAAGCUAAAUUAAUAAUAUUGUAUGUGUCUUAGAGAUGUACGCUCGCUUUCUUUCCAGUCCUUGUAUGCACGUUCUAGGCCCUUCCUCGUAGUCUUGAUCUAUCUUAUAUCCCAAUGGAAAUAACAAGUAUUAAUUAAUACA
Juglans regia (Persian walnut) is the source of this 550-nucleotide long non-coding RNA. RefSeq lists it as uncharacterized. The record is from RefSeq and is a predicted model, not a curated record. The transcript has 2 exons. Lineage: Eukaryota; Viridiplantae; Streptophyta; Magnoliopsida; Fagales; Juglandaceae.